UAACUGGGGCAGGUUCUUUUAAAGGUUCUGGUGUAGGUUCCUUUACAGGUUCAGGUGUAGGUUCCUUUACUGGUUCAGGUGUAGGUUCCUUUACUGGUUCUGGUGUAGGUUCCUUUACUGGUUCAGGUGUAGGUUCCUUUACAGGUUCUGGUGUAGGUUCCUUUACUGGUUCAGGUGUAGGUUCCUUUACAGGUUCUGGUGUAGGUUCCUUUACUGGUUCAGGUGUAGGUUCCUUUACAGGUUCUGGUGUAGGUUGCUUUACUGGUUCAGGUGUAGGUUCUUUUACAGGUUCUGGUGUAGGUUCCUUUACAGGUUUGGGUGUUGGUUCUUUAACUGGAUCUGGCUCUUCUACCUCCUG
This is a long non-coding RNA of Haliotis rubra (blacklip abalone), 358 nucleotides long. RefSeq lists it as uncharacterized. NCBI's taxonomy places the organism in Eukaryota, Metazoa, Mollusca, Gastropoda, Lepetellida, Haliotidae. The record is from RefSeq and is a predicted model, not a curated record. The transcript is spliced from 4 exons.